AGCUCCAAUAGCGUAUAUUAAAGUUGUUGCGGUUAAAAUGCUCGUAGUUGGAUUUCUGCCAAGGUAGACCGGUCCGCCCUCUGGGUGAGUAUCUGGAUCGGCCUAGGCAUUUCUUUGGGCAACGUAGCUGCACUUGACUGUGUGGUGCGGUGUCCAAUACAUUUACUUUGAAUAAAUUUAAGUGCUUCAAGCAGGCAUAUCACUCCAUGAAAAUAUUAGCAUGGAAUAAUAAAACAGGACAUUGGCUAUAUUUUGUUGGUUUCUAGUGCUUUGGUAAUGAUUAAUAGGGAUAGUUGGGGGCAUUCGUAUUUAAUUGUCAGAGGCGAAAUUCUUGGAUUUGUUAAAGACGAACUACUGCGCAAGCACUUGCCAAAUAUGUUUUCAUUGAUCAAGAACGAAA
RNAcentral lists this ribosomal RNA (400 nucleotides) under phytoplankton environmental sample. RNAcentral's name for it is "partial small subunit ribosomal RNA". It matches the Rfam family "Eukaryotic small subunit ribosomal RNA", at positions 587 to 988 of the family's 1831-position model. The record is from RNAcentral.